Molecule: ribosomal RNA, 565 nt
Filed under: Gloeandromyces hilleri
Lineage: Eukaryota; Fungi; Ascomycota; Laboulbeniomycetes; Laboulbeniales; Laboulbeniaceae
Description: SSU rRNA
Rfam family: Eukaryotic small subunit ribosomal RNA
Source: RNAcentral
CAUGCUUUUGACGGGUAACGGGGAAUUAGGGUUCGACUCCGGAGAGGGAGCCUGAGAAACGGCUACCACAUCCAAGGAAGGCAGCAGGCGCGCAAAUUACCCAAUCCCAACAUGGGGAGGUAGUGACAAGAAAUACUGAUAUAGGGUCCUCUAGGAUCUUGUAAUUGGAAUGAGUACAAUUUAAACCCAUUAACGAGGAACAACUAGAGGGCAAGUCUGGUGCCAGCAGCCGCGGUAAUUCCAGCUCUAGUAGCAUACAUUAAAAUUGUUGCAGUUAAAACGCCCGUAGUUGAAGUUUGGGCCUGGUCAACUGGUCUGCCUCACCGCGAGUACUGGUGUGAUUGGGUCUUUUUUCUUGGUGAACUGCAUGCUCUUUAUUGGGCGUGUUAGUGAACUAGGACUUUUACUUUGAAAAAAUUAGAGUGUUUAAAGCAGGCUUUUGCUCGAAUACCUUAGCAUGGAAUAAUGGAAUAUGACGAGUGGUUGUUUUUCAUUGGUUUUCACGACUACCGUAAUGAUUGAUAGGGAUGGUCGGGGGCAUCGGUAUUCGAUCGUCAGAGGUGAA